GGGUUUAAUCCCGUCCUUAUCAA
RNAcentral lists this transfer RNA (23 nucleotides) under Trachylepis maculilabris. Its description in RNAcentral is "partial tRNA-Tyr". Lineage: Eukaryota; Metazoa; Chordata; Lepidosauria; Squamata; Scincidae. The record is from RNAcentral.